UACGUAGGUGACCAGCGUUGUCCGGAUUUACUGGGCGUAAAGAGCGCGCAGGCGGUCGUUCAAGUCGAGUGUGAAAGCCCCCGGCUCAACCGGGGAAGGUGGCUGGAAACUGGCGCACUGGAGGGCGGCAGAGGCGUGUGGAAUUCCUGGUGUAGCGGUGAAAUGCGUAGAGAUCAGGAGGAACACCCGUGGCGAAGGCGGCACGCUGGGCCGGCCCUGACGCUGAGGCGCGAAAGCGUGGGGAGCGAACGGG
This 253-nucleotide ribosomal RNA is filed under the name uncultured bacterium. Its description in RNAcentral is "partial 16S ribosomal RNA". It matches the Rfam family "Bacterial small subunit ribosomal RNA", at positions 524 to 776 of the family's 1533-position model. The record is from RNAcentral.